UGGGGAAUAUUGCACAAUGGGCGAAAGCCUGAUGCAGCGACGCCGCGUGAACGAAGAAGUAUUUCGGUAUGUAAAGUUCUAUCAGCAGGGAAGAAGAAAUGACGGUACCUGACUAAGAAGCUCUGGCUAAAUACGUGCCAGCAGCCGCGGUAAUACGUAUGGAGCAAGCGUUAUCCGGAUUUACUGGGUGUAAAGGGAGCGUAGGCGGUCUUAUAAGUCUGAUGUGAAAGCCCGGGGCUCAACCCCGGGACUGCAUUGGAAACUGUAGGACUAGAGUGUCGGAGGGGUAAGUGGAAUUCCUAGUGUAGCGGUGAAAUGCGUAGAUAUUAGGAGGAACACCAGUGGCGAAGGCGGCUUACUGGACGAUUACUGACGCUGAGGCUCGAAAG
RNAcentral lists this ribosomal RNA (389 nucleotides) under uncultured Lachnospiraceae bacterium. RNAcentral's name for it is "bacterial SSU rRNA". It matches the Rfam family "Bacterial small subunit ribosomal RNA", at positions 355 to 759 of the family's 1533-position model. Lineage: Bacteria; Bacillati; Bacillota; Clostridia; Lachnospirales; Lachnospiraceae. The record is from RNAcentral.